RNAcentral lists this small RNA (29 nucleotides) under Bombyx mori (domestic silkworm). Its description in RNAcentral is "piRNA piR-bmo-2025459". Lineage: Eukaryota; Metazoa; Arthropoda; Insecta; Lepidoptera; Bombycidae. The record is from RNAcentral.
UAACGUCUACUUUUUGGAUUCUUCCGGAU